GAACAUGGCGGAAGGCUGAGUAACACGUCAAUAAUCUGCCCUUGAGUGGAGAAUAAUCUCGGGAAACUGAGGAUAAUACUCCAUAGAUGUAUUAUAUUGGAAGAUUUAUACAUUCAAAGCUUCGGCGCUCAAGGAUGAGUUGGCGACAGAUUAGGUAGUUGGUAGGGUAAAGGCCUACCAAGCCAAAGAUCUGUAGGGGUGAUGAGAGUCAUAGCCUCCAGAGGAACACUGAGAUAAGGGUUCCAGCUCUACGGAGUGCAGCAGUUACGAAACCUUUACAAUGCGCGAAAGCGUGAUAAGGGCAUCCUACGUGCUAGCUUAUAGUUAGCUUUUGUCAAGUUUAAAAAUCUUGGAGAAUAAGGGGUGGGCAAGACCGGUGCCAGCCGCCGCGGUAACCCCGGCGCCUCAAGUGGUGGUCAUAAUUAUUGGGUUUAAAGCAUCCGUAGCUGGUCGAGAAAGUUUUCGGUGAAAUCUGGCAGCUUAACUGUCAGGAAGGCUGAAAAUACUAUUCGACUAGGGACCGGGAGGAGUCAGAGGAAUGUCAGGGGGAGCGGUAAAAUGUGUUAAUCCUUGAUGGACCACCAGUGGCGAAGGCGUCUGACUAGAACGGAUCCGACAGUGAGGGAUGAAAGCUAGGGGAGCAAAUCGGAUUAGAUACCCGAGUAGUCCUAGCCGUAAACGCUGCCUGCAAGGUGCUGCAAUUUCUUCGUGUUUUUGCAGUGUCGAAGAGAAAUCGUUAAGCAGGCCACCUGGGAAGUACGGUCGCAAGGCUGAAACUUAAAGGAAUAGGCGGGGGGUCACAACAAGGGGUGGAUGUUGCGGUUUAAUUCAACAAUACGCGGGGAACCCUACCAGGGCCGACAGCAGAAUGAAGGUCAUCCUAAAUGGAUUACUUGACGCGCUGAGAGGUGGUGCAUGGCGGUCGUCAGCUCGUGCCAUGAGGUGUUCUGUUAAGUCAGAGAACGAGCGAGACCUGCGUCUUCAGUUGCCACCGUUCUUAUUUGAGAG
This 1008-nucleotide ribosomal RNA is filed under the name marine metagenome. Its description in RNAcentral is "bacterial SSU rRNA". It matches the Rfam family "Archaeal small subunit ribosomal RNA", at positions 74 to 1086 of the family's 1478-position model. The record is from RNAcentral.